RNAcentral lists this microRNA (20 nucleotides) under Corchorus olitorius. RNAcentral's name for it is "bta-miR-23". Lineage: Eukaryota; Viridiplantae; Streptophyta; Magnoliopsida; Malvales; Malvaceae. The record is from RNAcentral.
CAGAUUUUUUGUUUUUUUUU